This 390-nucleotide ribosomal RNA is filed under the name uncultured bacterium. RNAcentral describes it as "bacterial SSU rRNA". It matches the Rfam family "Bacterial small subunit ribosomal RNA", at positions 28 to 420 of the family's 1533-position model. The record is from RNAcentral.
GACGAACGCUGGCGGCGUGCUUAACACAUGCAAGUCGAGCGGUAAGGCCCUUUCGGGGGUACACGAGCGGCGAACGGGUGAGUAACACGUGGGUGACCUGCCCUCAGCUCUGGGAUAAGCCUGGGAAACUGUGUCUAAUACUGGAUAUGACUCCACGGUGCAUGUCGUGGGGUGGAAAGCCUUGUGCGGCUGAGGAUGGGCCCGCGGCCUAUCAGCUUGNGGUGGGGUGAUGGCCUACCAAGGCGACGACGGGUAGCCGGCCUGAGAGGGCGACCGGCCACACUGGGACUGAGACACGGCCCAGACUCCUACGGGAGGCAGCAGUGGGGAAUCUUGCGCAAUGGGCGAAAGCCUGACGCAGCGACGCCGCGUGAGGGAUGACGGCCUGGU